Molecule: ribosomal RNA, 441 nt
Filed under: uncultured bacterium
Lineage: Bacteria
Description: partial 16S ribosomal RNA
Rfam family: Bacterial small subunit ribosomal RNA
Source: RNAcentral
CCUACGGGUGGCAGCAGUGGGGAAUAUUGCACAAUGGGGGAAACCCUGAUGCAGCGACGCCGCGUGAGUGAAGAAGUAUUUCGGUAUGUAAAGCUCUAUCAGCAGGAACGAGACAAGAGGGUACCUGCCUAAGAAGCCCCGGCUAACUACGUGCCAGCAGCCGCGGUAAUACGUAGGGGGCAAGCGUUAUCCGGAAUCACUGGGUGUAAAGGGAGCGUAGACGGCUGAGCAAGCCUGAAGGGAAAGGCGGGGGCCCAACCCCCGGACUGCUUUGGGAACUGUACGGCUGGAGUGCAGGAGAGGUAAGUGGAAUUCCUAGUGGAGCGGUGAAAUGCGUAGAUAUUAGGAGGAACACCAGUGGCGAAGGCGGCUUACUGGACUGUAACUGACGUUGAGGCUCGAAAGCGUGGGGAGCAAACAGGAUUAGAUACCCUUGUAGUC